RNAcentral lists this ribosomal RNA (460 nucleotides) under uncultured bacterium. RNAcentral's name for it is "partial 16S ribosomal RNA". It matches the Rfam family "Bacterial small subunit ribosomal RNA", at positions 338 to 795 of the family's 1533-position model. The record is from RNAcentral.
CCUACGGGAGGCAGCAGUGAGGAAUAUUGGUCAAUGGCCGUAAGGCUGAACCAGCCAAGUCGCGUGAAGGAAGAAGGAUCUAUGGUUUGUAAACUUCUUUUAUAGGGGAAUAAAGGUAUCCACGUGUGGAUAUUUGCAUGUACCCUAUGAAUAAGCAUCGGCUAACUCCGGUCCAGCAGCCGCGGUAAUACGGAGGAUGCGAGCGUUAUCCGGAUUUAUUGGGUUUAAAGGGUUCGUAGGUUGUUUUUUAAGUCAGCGGUGAAAGUUUGUGGCUCAACCAUAAAAUUGCCGUUGAAACUGGAAGACGUGAGUGUGUUUGAGGUAGGCGGAAUGCGUGGUGUAGCGGUGAAAUGCAUAGAUAUCACGCAGAACUCCGAUUGCGAAGGCAGCUUACUAAGCCAUAACUGACACUGAAGCACGAAAGCGUGGGGAUCAAACAGGAUUAGAUACCCCAGUAGUC